RNAcentral lists this ribosomal RNA (373 nucleotides) under uncultured organism. RNAcentral describes it as "bacterial SSU rRNA". It matches the Rfam family "Bacterial small subunit ribosomal RNA", at positions 526 to 896 of the family's 1533-position model. The record is from RNAcentral.
CGUAGGGGACGAGCGUUGUCCGGAUUCAUUGGGCGUAAAGCGCGCGUAGGCGGCUCGGAAAGUCGGUCGUGAAAUCCUGGGGUUCAACCCCGGAACUGCGUCCGAUACUCCCGAGCUGGAGGCAGGUAGGGGAGAUCGGAAUUCCUGGUGUAGCGGUGAAAUGCGCAGAUAUCAGGAGGAACACCGGUGGCGAAGGCGGAUCUCUGGGCCUUGCCUGACGCUGAGGCGCGAAAGCUAGGGGAGCGAACAGGAUUAGAUACCCUGGUAGUCCUAGCCGUAAACGUUGGGUGCUAGGUGUGGGCGGAUAUCGACCCCGUCCGUGCCGAAGCUAACGCAUUAAGCACCCCGCCUGGGGAGUACGGCCGCAAGGCUA